UCAUAAUGUCGGUAAAAAUAUUUUUGCAAAAGAAAGAUCCUAUUACGCGAAAUUUUAAAAAAUCAGAUAUGAGAAUUAAAUACUUGUUAUAUUGAUAACAGACCAAAGUUAAAAUGCAUAAGUUAUAUGAAAUCUGUUAAAAUAAUUAUAGAUUGUUUCCCAUUGAGUCACUACAAACGACGAGAAAAGGGUGAUAAAAAGCAAAGUUCAAUUACUUUGACGGGCUAAUAGCUAUUUAGUUUUUCCUCAGAAAACAAGUGUACUUUGUUCAGUUGUUAAGAGCGGUAGUUAAUGAACAAAGUAGCUCUAUCUGCUGUAUAAUGUUCUAUUGUAUAUAGUUCAUAUAUACGAGGAAAUUCGAUAUAUGUUUGUAUGCGUACGCGCCUGUGCUUUCUAUACAUAGAAUUUUACGGCUGUGUUAAGACUUUUGUGGUGGUUGUAUAGUUGGCAGGGGGAGGUCUUUAGCCCCCUUCGUGAGGCACACGCCGGUAAUGAGUGUUUAUACUAUAACUACGGCGACACCAAUAACAAGUGCAACAGUAUCAACAACAACGACAACGACGACGACGGGGGUAACAGUGACGACGACGGCUACGUCGACAACAAUAGCGGCGCCGGCGGUUGCCGUGUCGCCUGAAGCUGCACCUGGUUGGAUAGAAUUUUGUGAGAGACACGCCCGCGCUUCAGCUUCUGAUUUCGCCAAGGCUUUUUGUACUUACGUCAGUUUAAAUUUACCCGAAAGCGCUAGAUCAAAUCUUUCUCACCGUGAUUUUUUAAGGAAAUUCGUUGAAAGCUUUUGCGAGCACUUUGAAAGCGAAUAUCUGCGUCGUACAAUUAGAUCACCAUCUUUAUAUGACACCAGACAUACGAUAACUAAUGAUAGGGAUAUUAAUGUUGCAAGUCAAAAUAAUAAUGCUCCUGUACGUAUCUCAUCUCAUGAGGAAUUCAGUGAUUAUUCUGAGCACGAUGGGGAUGCAAUAUCACCAAAACCAAUACAUAAACCCUUUUUCCGUCGUUUAUCUUUUAAAGGGCUUAAAAAAGGUAAAAGCUUCUUUCACAAGCAGCAAAGCGACGAGGUGGAAUUAUCUCAUAGCGAACAUCGCAGAGAUAAACAUUCAAAAGCUAAGCUUUCAAAGAUUGUGGUGGAAUGUAGAAAAGAAGGCAUUGUUAAUUCCUUGAUGGGAGAAAAUAUUGAUGGAACUCAGAAAUGGGAAAAAUCAAGACUUGCCUUAAUAAAAGCAAUUGGUGGAUACAUGUUAGAAUUUUAUUCUCCUCCAAAAGCAGUAAAACCACGUAGUGGUGUGUUUUGUUCUGCGAUAACUGAAGCUAGAGAAACAACUGCACUAGAGAUGCCAGAUCAUGAAAAUACAUUUGUAUUAAAGACACAAAAUAUGGAAUUUGUAAUAGAAGCUCAUGAUUCAAAUGAUAUGAGAUCAUGGUUAGCUACUAUUAAAUAUUGUAUGCGCACAGUACAACAAAGUUUUUUUAAUCCUAGUUGUGGAACAGAUGCUACUGAAGAUUCUUUAGGUCAUGGUUCAUUAGCUAUUAGUAAUGAAGGAGAUAGAUUAAGAACUAACUCUGCAAGUAAAAGUUCUCGAUCUACAGCCCACGAACACGGGGAUGAAGCACCAAGUAACCCACCAGAAAUACCUCCAAGACUUCGUAUGAGAAGUAAUAGUAAUUUAGAAUUAUGUUCAUCACAAGAUAUUGAUCAAAAUGAUGGUGAAUUGGAUUUAUCGCAUAGUUUAAGAGAGUAUCCAUGGUUUCAUGGAACUCUCCCUAGAUCAGAUGCAGCACAGCUUGUUUUACAUAGUGCUGCUAAUGGUCAUGGUGUGUUUCUUGUUAGGCAAAGUGAAACCAGAAAAGGAGAAUUUGUAUUAACUUUCAAUUUCCAAGGCAGAGCAAAGCAUUUACGUAUGACAUUGAACGAUCAAGGGCAGUGUAGAGUUCAACAUCUUUGCUUUCCUGCAAUAUAUGACAUGCUUGAACAUUUUCGUAAAAAUGCUAUACCUCUUGAAUCAGGUGGGACAGCCGACGUAACUUUAACGGAAUUUGUCGUAGCAAAUCAUGCCAUACGACCAGGACACCAUAAUGUAGCUGGAGUGAAUCAACAACAGUUACAAGAAAGAAGACCUCCAGCAGCUCCAGAGCCAAGAGAAGUAAGAGUCAGCAGUGGAAGUCUAACUCCUCUUGAGUGAACGCGAGUGGCCAGCACCCACAGUCUGAAGUCUAAUCUACAGACAGUGAGUAAAUAAAUAAAGUGAUGCACCCAUUUUUCGUGCGGCUGGUGAUAUAUACAUAUACUUAUGGAGAUUUUAUCAGUUUUUUCUUUUAUAAUUCCAUCUAGGUCCAUAUUCGGAUUAUUUUUAAACAUUUAAACAAUACCAAAUUUUUUGGAUCAUUUUUUACUAUUAACACAUUGAUUAUGUAUUGUCAGUGGUUCAAUUAUGUACAUAUUUUCUUAUUUGUCGAAUAGUUACAUUAUGGUCUUAAUAAAUUAUAUCUUUUUGAUAAUGAGUGGUACGCACAUAUGGAGGUUCUAUACGAACACGUACAGAAUCACUGGAGAGACUGGAACAACAAAAUAACAUUACAGAACAACAAAG
RNA transcript from Osmia bicornis bicornis, 2606 nucleotides. It is a transcript of the gene named SH2B adapter protein 1, with no coding region annotated. NCBI's taxonomy places the organism in Eukaryota, Metazoa, Arthropoda, Insecta, Hymenoptera, Megachilidae. The transcript is spliced from 5 exons. The record is from RefSeq and is a predicted model, not a curated record.